Molecule: long non-coding RNA, 454 nt
Organism: Xiphophorus hellerii (green swordtail)
Lineage: Eukaryota; Metazoa; Chordata; Actinopteri; Cyprinodontiformes; Poeciliidae
Exons: 3
Source: RefSeq, a predicted model, not a curated record
GAGGUGCAACACUUUCCUCUUCCUGCUCUCCUCCCUCUCUCCAGGCGUUUUUUGAUUUCUCCUCUCACCUCCUCUUUCUCUCUCCCCCUUUCAUAUCCCAGAGUGCCUCUUUCUUCUGUUCGUCUCUUCCGAUCGCAAGUUCUCCUCAAGUGUUGAACAUGCAGAGCGGCUGGCGAGGUGAAACAACAAGAUGUUUAAAAAGUCUUUCUGCAUAAUCCAGCUAUCCUUUGCCAGGACCUCCACAGCCUGUCUGGUCCUCCUGAGCAGUUACUGCCUUCCCAGCAUUAUCCAGCAGGCCCAUCUGUGAGUUGGAGGACGAGAUCUGAUUGAAGCACGGGAUCUACAGUGCUAAUCUAAUGUACAUAUGAGCAAAUAUGCAGCAAUGCUUUGAAUGAGCAUUAAGCCUCUUCAAAAUGUGUGAAUAUAGAUAAUGAAUAAAUCGGUUCUCUUCAAA